This 453-nucleotide ribosomal RNA is filed under the name Melomys burtoni (grassland melomys). RNAcentral describes it as "partial 16S ribosomal RNA". It matches the Rfam family "Bacterial large subunit ribosomal RNA", at positions 1928 to 2557 of the family's 2925-position model. The record is from RNAcentral. Lineage: Eukaryota; Metazoa; Chordata; Mammalia; Rodentia; Muridae.
CGGCCGCGGUAUCCUGACCGUGCAAAGGUAGCAUAAUCACUUGUUCCCUAAUUAGGGACUAGAAUGAAUGGCCAAACGAGGAUUCAACUGUCUCUUAUUUUUUAUCAGUGAAAUUGACCUUUCAGUGAAGAGGCUGAAAUACUAAAAUAAGACGAGAAGACCCUAUGGAGCUUAAAUUAAAAGUUUAAUUUUACUCUUAUUAACCUAAUGGUUUAACACAAAAAUUUUAAACUCUAAAUUUCGGUUGGGGUGACCUCGGAGAACAAAAAAUCCUCCGAAUGAUUUUAACAUAGACCAACAAGUCAAAGUAACCCAAAGAUCUUAUUGACCCAAAAAAAUUUUUGAUCAACGGACCAAGUUACCCUAGGGAUAACAGCGCAAUCCUAUUUUAGAGUCCAUAUCGACAAUAGGGUUUACGACCUCGAUGUUGGAUCAGGACAUCCCAAUGGCGCA